Molecule: ribosomal RNA, 253 nt
Filed under: uncultured bacterium
Lineage: Bacteria
Description: partial 16S ribosomal RNA
Rfam family: Bacterial small subunit ribosomal RNA
Source: RNAcentral
UACGUAGGGUGCGAGCGUUAAUCGGAAUUACUGGGCGUAAAGCGUGCGCAGGCGGUUUUGUAAGUCAGAUGUGAAAUCCCCGGGCUUAACCUGGGAAUGGCAUUUGGGACUGCAAGGCUGGAGUGUGGCAGAGGAGACUGGAAUUCCUGGUGUAGCAGUGAAAUGCGUAGAUAUCAGGAGGAAUGCCGAUGGCGAAGGCAGGUCUCUGGGCUGACACUGACGCUCAUGCACGAAAGCGUGGGGAGCAAACAGG